This 99-nucleotide non-coding RNA is filed under the name Priestia koreensis. Its description in RNAcentral is "Bacillus koreensis Azaaromatic sequence". It matches the Rfam family "azaaromatic riboswitch aptamer (yjdF RNA)". Lineage: Bacteria; Bacillati; Bacillota; Bacilli; Caryophanales; Bacillaceae. The record is from Rfam by way of RNAcentral.
CAAAUAGAGUGUAAAAUCACAGUCUGGUUGGUAGUCCAGACGCAUUUUUAAUGUCAGUAGCCUUCCCCCCUCGGGAUGUCCAUCACUCUGAUUCAAUUA